ACGUGUGUGUUGAUGAAUCUUAUGCUUAUUACAACUGUGUCAUCAUAGCCCCAGAGAACAAAUAUUUCAAUCGACAGUUCAGGCAUCGAAGUGGCACCGAAAUUCACGUUUUGUUUCGGUCCGGUACAUACCGGUUAUAUAGGUACCGGUGCCGUAUUGGCACUGGUUUUCGGUACCCAACCCUGCGGUACUGACGAGGUACUUUAUUGGCUACGGCAGCCCGAGGUAAGAGCGGAUCCAGCGGCUCGGGCUUUAGCCAACUGCCCGGCGACGCGUGACAAGCGAAGGAGGUGCGCGAAAACCUCCGUCGGCUUAGAGAAGUGGCAGCGGAAGCGAUGUUUCGGCAGAUGGAUGUCGACAGCAGGCUACCCUCUGGUCGGCGGUCUGGGCUUCCGAACGGACCCCAGAGCGAGCUGCGAGAAGGAGGGAGAAGCGGAGUCUCCAUAAGCAGGAAGCACCACCGGGGAUCUUUCUAGGGGCUACUCUGAUCUCCGCUGCUUCCCCUGCCAGGUGUCGGGAGAUGCCCCUUUCGAUACUGGACCCAGCAGUGUUCAGCCCUGACGUCGCCACCGCCACUUCACACAAGCGGGUGCCUGACGCCUGCAUCGCUGCCGCUUCCUUCCCCAUGCUGGCAGCUCGCCCCUUUCUAGGGACGCGCCUGGCUCUUAAAGGGGCCAGGUCAGUUGGGGAUGCCACACCGCAGCAACUCUCGAAGGACGGCGCCCGCUGCUGGGGUGCAGUCUCCGUCUUCGCCCCCCGCGGUUACUGUUUUACCUGACCCGUUCUGUGCCAGAUUCUGUUUUGGCUUUUGCCAUUGUGCCUGUUCUGUGUGUCUGUUCUGUUCCCUGUUCCUCAUUGAUGUUCUUCGUCUUGUUUUCCAGGUACCGUUUUCCCGGUCUCGUCCUGUCCGCCGCUCCCCUUGGAGCUUAGUCUUUGAAACAAAAAUUAUACGUUUUCACUUUUCAGCAUCUGGCAUGCCACUCACGAUUUCAGACUCGCGCAGGAAAUCUUACGGCAAAUCUAUAUUAUUCCAUUGUGAACCUAAAAUAAGCUACGUCAAAAGCGUAUUUACACGGUUAAAUACAAAAGCAGACUAUUUACAAGGGAGCUGGUCUCACUUCAGUUGUGCUACAAGCAGCAAGUGAUACUGAAGACGGGUGCACAUUGGGGGGUCCUGUUAGACAUGGGUGACCAGACCUUUGCCCGACACUUCAGGAUGAACAGGACCCAGUUUGAGUAUUUACUCACAAAGCUGCAGGAGAACGGCCUAAGCAGAGAACACAGCCAUGGAAAAACACAAGUGCCUGCCACCAAGAAGCUGUUGCUGUUCCUGUGGUACAUGGCCAAUCAGAACAGCUUUCGAGAGCAAGUCAGGUACUGUGUAUUAACCUGACUGUCCGACAAGUUCAACAUCAGACAGUUCAGGUGCUGACCAUUGUGUCGCAAAUUGGGCCAACCUUCAUCUCGUGGCCUAAUGGAUGUGGAAAAGGAGCAUCUGCCGCUGACUUCCAGCGCACCUGUGGCCUUGAUGGGAUCAUAGGGGCAACUGAUGGUUGCCACAUCCGAAUUCAGAGGCCAACCAUUAGAGGGGGGGACAACAUGAACAGGAAGGGUUUCUACUCUGUCCUCCUUCAGGGGAUUGUCGAUGAAAGGGGACGAUUCACUGACAUCUUCGCUGGACCACCGGGGCGAGUCCAUGAUGCAAGGAUGUUGACAGCCUCCGACUUCUUCCUCGAAUGGCAGGAAAGAUGGGGCAGUACUUUCUGCUGGGGGUCAGCGUCUACAUUGGCCAGGCCUUGCUAUUCAUCUGGGCCCCUAAACGUGAUAAUGGGAGACUCACUGAGGCAGAACAUCAGCAGAAUGCAAGGAUCAGCCGGGGGAGGGUCAUAGCUGAGCAGGCGUUCGGACGCUUGCAGUGCAAGUGGAGGCGUCUACGUGACUUGCAGGACACUGGAAUUGACAUUGUGGUCAUGGUGAUCAUGGCAGCCUGUUUCUUGCACAUGUGCAUCGGCCAUUCGGACAUGUGCCCAGAACACCCACAAUGGUGCCCAAGGGAGGAGGAUGAUAGUGAUCGAUAGUUUAAUUUGAGUGAUUCUUGUUUUGUGAUUUACAUUCUGGUUUAUUUUAACCUAUGAGCCUUUCAGCUUAUUUUAUAAUUAUUUGUUUUCUUAUAUUGUGUGUAUUGUCUACAUAUGUGUGUGAGAGGAUAAGACGGAGUGGUAGAGCAAUGAAUAUUGUUCAUCAAUAAAAAAUGGUGUGCUUCAA
Paramormyrops kingsleyae is the source of this 2265-nucleotide non-coding RNA. Lineage: Eukaryota; Metazoa; Chordata; Actinopteri; Osteoglossiformes; Mormyridae. The record is from RefSeq and is a predicted model, not a curated record.